This 433-nucleotide ribosomal RNA is filed under the name uncultured bacterium. RNAcentral's name for it is "partial 16S ribosomal RNA". It matches the Rfam family "Bacterial small subunit ribosomal RNA", at positions 29 to 507 of the family's 1533-position model. The record is from RNAcentral.
AACGAACGCUGGCGGCAUGCCUAACACAUGCAAGUCGAACGAGACCUUCGGGUCUAGUGGCGCACGGGUGCGUAACGCGUGGGAACCUGCCCUUAGGUUCGGAAUAACUCCCCGAAAGGGGUGCUAAUACCGGAUAAUGUCUUCGGACCAAAGAUUUAUCGCCUUUGGUUGGGCCCGCGUUGGAUUAGCUAGUUGGUAGGGUAAAAGCCUACCAAGGCGACGAUCCAUAGCUGGUCUGAGAGGAUGAUCAGCCACACUGGGACUGAGACACGGCCCAGACUCCUACGGGAGGCAGCAGUGGGGAAUGUUGGAAAAUGGGCGAAAGCCUGAUCCAGCAAUGCCGCGUGAGUGAUGAAGGCCUUAGGGUUGUAAAGCUCUUUUACCCGGGAUGAUAAUGACAGUACCGGGAGAAUAAGCUCCGGCUAACUCCGUG